CAGUAGCCACGGUAAUACGAAGGGUGCAAGCGUUACUCGGAAUUACUGGGCGUAAAGCGUGCGUAGGCGGCUUCUUAAGUCGGAUGUGAAAUCCCUGAGCUUAACUUAGGAAUUGCAUUCGAUACUGGGAAGCUAGAGUAUGGGAGAGGAUGGUAGAAUUCCAGGUGUAGCGGUGAAAUGCGUAGAGAUCUGGAGGAAUACCGAUGGCGAAGGCAGCCAUCUGGCCUAAUACUGACGCUGAGGUACGAAAGCAUGGGGAGCAAACAGGAUUAGAUACCCCCGUAGUCCCUGUCUCUUAUAC
RNAcentral lists this ribosomal RNA (301 nucleotides) under uncultured bacterium. Its description in RNAcentral is "partial 16S ribosomal RNA". It matches the Rfam family "Bacterial small subunit ribosomal RNA", at positions 509 to 807 of the family's 1533-position model. The record is from RNAcentral.